UUGCGGUUAAAAAGCUCGUAGUUGGAUUUCGGCGAUCAGGGGCCGGUGAUAUAUUUGUAUCUACUGGCCCAUUUGGUCGUAUUUUUGAAAGAGGGUUUGGGGUCCCCUUCACUGGGUGUCCUAGGUCGCUUUCAGGUUUACUUUGAAAAAAUUAGAGUGCUCAAAGCAGGCUUUAACGCUUGAAUAUUCGUGCAUGGAAUAAUAGAAUAGGAAGUUCGUUUCUAUUUUGUUGGUUUUAGGAUAACGACUUAAUGAUUAAUAGGGACAAUCGGGGGAAUUAGUAUUCAAACGACAGAGGUGAAAUUCUUGGACCGUUUGAAGACUAACUACUGCGAAAGCAUUUUCCAAGAGUGUUUUCAUUAAUCAAGAACGAAAGUUAGAGGUUCGAAGGCGAUCAGAUACCGCCCUAGUUCUAACCAUAAACGAUGCCAGCUAGCGAUCUCAGGGUGCGUAAUACUAAGGCCCCUGAGGGAGCUUCCGGGGAAACCAAAGCUUGUGGGUUUCCGGGGGGAAGUAUGG
RNAcentral lists this ribosomal RNA (519 nucleotides) under uncultured eukaryote. Its description in RNAcentral is "SSU rRNA". It matches the Rfam family "Eukaryotic small subunit ribosomal RNA", at positions 613 to 1128 of the family's 1831-position model. The record is from RNAcentral.